This 70-nucleotide transfer RNA is filed under the name Xenophthalmus pinnotheroides. RNAcentral describes it as "tRNA-Tyr". It matches the Rfam family "tRNA". From Rfam's summary of the family: Transfer RNA (tRNA) molecules are approximately 80 nucleotides in length. Their secondary structure includes four short double-helical elements and three loops (D, anti-codon, and T loops). The record is from RNAcentral. Lineage: Eukaryota; Metazoa; Arthropoda; Malacostraca; Decapoda; Xenophthalmidae.
AUUAAAGUGGCUGAGGAAAUUAUAGGCGGUAGAUUGUAAAUCUAUAGACGAGUAGAACUCCUUUAUUAGU